AUUGAACGCUGGCGGCAGGCCUAACACAUGCAAGUCGAGCGGUAGAGGAUAGCUUGCUAUCCAAAGCAGCGGCGGACGGGUGAGUAACGCGUGGGAAUCUACCUAGUAGAGGGGGACAACUCGGGGAAACUCGAGCUAAUACCGCAUACGCCCUACGGGGGAAAGGAGGGGAUCUUCGGACCUUCCGCUAUUAGAUGAGCCCGCGUUAGAUUAGCUAGUUGGUAGGGUAAAGGCCUACCAAGGCGACGAUCUAUAGCUGGUCUGAGAGGAUGAUCAGCCACACUGGGACUGAGACACGGCCCAG
RNAcentral lists this ribosomal RNA (304 nucleotides) under uncultured bacterium. RNAcentral describes it as "bacterial SSU rRNA". It matches the Rfam family "Bacterial small subunit ribosomal RNA", at positions 30 to 334 of the family's 1533-position model. The record is from RNAcentral.